CAGAUACUGAGAAUGUUCUAGGGCUCUGAGUGUCUCUUGUGAAGGAGAUCUGGCAGGAGGCUGGGAUUGCAGGAGGCCAACAUGCUGCCUUUAAAGCUCCAGAUAUGAGUCUUCAGCAAAAGAAGCUUCCCUGCCCACAGCAGCUGGUGACAACACCAUGGACUUCCACAUGGUUUCCAGAGGCAGCUUGGAACACUGACAUCAACCUCGGCCCUGGGAGCAGCCCAGAUUGUGGCCAUGGACAUGGAGUAUCCUCCCUGUUCUGUGCUGGAAUGGUGCCUUGUUUUGUAUGCAUUUUUUUUAUAUGUACAGUCUUGUUGUAGAGCUCAGGUGGGUCUCAAAUUCUGCACUAGGAAGUCUGACAGGGAAGAAAGGCAGUGGUCCAACUCUGUUUGGGGAGAUCUGGGUCCUCCACCAGGAAGAAGGGUGCGUGAAACAGAGGCUCAAGACUGGAACCCACUGCCUCACCCAUGUAUCUGGCACUUGAUGGCUGGACACAUCUACUCACGGUCUCUCAGUGGAGUCUCUAUUCAGAACUAUUUGGACUUCCGAACAUAGCAGCUGGCUUCCAAGAACCAGCGUCCCCAGAGAUGAGGGCCAGAGGCAUGUGAGAUAUUUCUGUCCAGGCUCGAGGUCUCAUGUUAAAAUCGGAAUGUGGGGUGAGAUGAUGUAUUGCAGUCAUCUUUGGAAGAUCAUAAUAAACAGCGGUAGAUUUGACUUUUCAGAAACAGCUAAAAUUCCUUGAUUUUGAUAAAGCUUGAUAAGCUUGAUAAAGAAGAGAGGGGAGUGAAGCUGUUUGGAUUAGAAACUAAGAGUUAAUAGGCCGAGGAUGUAGUUCAGUUGGUAGAGUGCUGGCCUGGGACACACAAGGCCCUGGGUUGAAUCCACGGUACUGCGGUACUGCGUAAACCAGGCCUGUUGGCACACGCCUGUAAUCCCAGGGAGGGGUGGGGAUACGCUCCAGGCUAACAAGAUCCUGUCUCAAAACAAACAAACCAGACAGAACAUCCACACCCACACCCGCAAAACAUUUUUGACAAAGUGUGUGCUCCAGUGGUGACCGUGGCCACUUUGAAUUGGCCCUGUACGGACCCGUAUUCCUCUCAGGAGCACUUGAAGAGCUGCCUGGUGGACUGGCCCAUUCAUGCAAGAGAAAGUAGCCAUGUUUCUAAUUAAGAGUCUCUAGACUGGUUGGAUUUUAUGGAUGGGAUAUUUUUAAUUUUUGUAGAGAUGAGAUAUUAUAGAUCCAUAAACUAGGGUUGGGUUAUCUUUGAUACUCGCCUCUUGGCGACAGGGUUUCAUGUAGCCUAGCCUUCCCAGACUGGUCUUGAACUCACUAUAUAGCAUCAAUGAUGUCCUUUAUCCUCUGAGUGCUGGGAUUAUAGGUGGGUACCAUCACACUUGUGCGAUCCUGGGGAAGGAAGUCAGGGUCUUUUUAGGCGAGUACCAUCCUGAAUUAUGUCCAAGUAGGUCACACUUUUGUUGUUGUUGUUGCUAAUGUUCUCCAUUUGCUUUUUGAGACAUGGUUUCUCUGUGUAGCCCUGGAUGUCCUGGAACUGACUCUGUAGACCAGGCUGGCUUGGAAUUUACAGAGAUCCCAUUGCCUCUGCCUCCUGGGUGCUGGGAUUAAGGCGUGUGCACUACUGUCUGGCUUACCCAACUCUCCUCUCCUCUGUCCUCUCCCUCCAAUCCCCUUCUGAGACAGGAUCUCUACAGCGCAGGCUGGCCUUGUGCCAAGCUGGAUUUGGAAGACUGGCAAUUCUCCCACUAUAGCUUUAAGGUUUUUACUUGUAUUUGUGUGUGGAGAGUGUGUGUCUGUAAACACAUGUGUAUAUGUGACUAAACGUGUAUAUGUAACCUG
Molecule: long non-coding RNA, 1861 nt
Organism: Alexandromys fortis (reed vole)
Lineage: Eukaryota; Metazoa; Chordata; Mammalia; Rodentia; Cricetidae
Exons: 3
Source: RefSeq, a predicted model, not a curated record